This 497-nucleotide ribosomal RNA is filed under the name uncultured bacterium. Its description in RNAcentral is "partial 16S ribosomal RNA". It matches the Rfam family "Bacterial small subunit ribosomal RNA", at positions 28 to 507 of the family's 1533-position model. The record is from RNAcentral.
GACGAACGCUGGCGGCGUGCCUAAUACAUGCAAGUCGAACGAACGGAUAAAGAGCUUGCUCUUUUGACGUUAGUGGCGGACGGGUGAGUAACACGUGGGUACCCUGCCUCACAGCUGGGUAUAACAUCGAGAAAUCGAUGCUAAUACCGAAUGUGCUGCACAUCAUAAGAUGUUCAAGGGAAAUACGGUCUCGGCUGUCACUGCGAGAUGCACCCGGGCUGGAUUAGCUAGUUGGUAAGGUAAUGGCUUACCAAGGCGACGAUCCAUAGACGACCGGAGAGGGUGAUCGCCGACAUGGGGACGGAGACACGGACCAUGCUCCUGCGGGAGGCAGCAGUAGGGAAUCGUCGGCAAUAGACGAAAGUCUGACCGAGCAACGCCGCGUGAGCGAAGAAGGCCUUCGGGUCGUAAAGCUCUGUUGUGAGUGAAGAACAUGGGUGGGAGGAACUGAUCACCCAUUGACGGUAACGAGUCAGAAAGCAACGGCUAACUACGUG